GACGAACGCUGGCGGCGUGCUUAACACAUGCAAGUCGAACGGAAAGGCCCUGCUUUUGUGGGGUGCUCGAGUGGCGAACGGGUGAGUAACACGUGAGUAACCUGCCCUUGACUUUGGGAUAACUUCAGGAAACUGGGGCUAAUACCGGAUAGGAGCUCCUGCUGCAUGGUGGGGGUUGGAAAGUUUCGGCGGUUGGGGAUGGACUCGCGGCUUAUCAGCUUGUUGGUGGGGUAGUGGCUUACCAAGGCUUUGACGGGUAGCCGGCCUGAGAGGGUGACCGGCCACCUUGGGACUGAGGUACGGCCCAGACUCCUACGGGAGGCAGCAGUGGGGAAUAUUGCACAAUGGGCGGAAGCCUGAUGCAGCGACGCCGCGUGCGGGAUGACGGCCUUCGGGUUGUAAACCGCUUUCGCCUGUGACGAAGCGUGAGUGACGGUAAUGGGUAAAGAAGCACCGGCUAACUACGUG
RNAcentral lists this ribosomal RNA (468 nucleotides) under uncultured bacterium. RNAcentral describes it as "partial 16S ribosomal RNA". It matches the Rfam family "Bacterial small subunit ribosomal RNA", at positions 28 to 507 of the family's 1533-position model. The record is from RNAcentral.